UACGUAGGGUGCGAGCGUUGUCCGGAAUUAUUGGGCGUAAAGAGCUUGUAGGUGGCUCGUUGCGUCGGGAGUGAAAACCUGCGGCUUAACCACAGGCCUGCUUCCGAUACGGGCGAGCUAGAGUUCGGCAGGGGAGACUGGAAUUCCUGGUGUAGCGGUGGAAUGCGCAGAUAUCAGGAGGAACACCGGUGGCGAAGGCGGGUCUCUGGGCCGUUACUGACGCUGAGGAGCGAAAGCGUGGGGAGCGAACAGG
RNAcentral lists this ribosomal RNA (253 nucleotides) under uncultured bacterium. RNAcentral's name for it is "partial 16S ribosomal RNA". It matches the Rfam family "Bacterial small subunit ribosomal RNA", at positions 524 to 776 of the family's 1533-position model. The record is from RNAcentral.